AUGAAGAAAAAUCUUCAGUUGUCUCAAACCAAAGAGAAGAUGGUGAGUGCUGAUGCUGAAAUAAAUAUGGUCAAGGAAGUUGUGCUUCAAACUGAUAUGCCAACUAUAGUGAGCAGAGAGCCAACCACCAUCACAGGAGUUCAACAGAUCAAGGGGAAGACUCCCCUUUCAAUAGUUCCACCAAAACCACCUAAGCAGCAAACGAUUGUCAAGUUUGCCAGUGGCACAAAGGGGGAACAUGCCACAAAAGAUUUGGGGUUCAGAGACGAGAGAGAACUGCGUGCCGCAGCCAUUGAUGCAUGGGUGCCAAGUUCUGCUAGGUUGCUGCCAACUCAGACUGGAAAGAUGCCAACUACAGAUACCAGUGUGCCAACUGAUGUGUCAGUUAGCAGCGUGGUCACAAUCAAAACCACCACAGCUGCUCAGGAAGGCACCACUGCAACUGCAAGCCCCAAGGUGCCUACUCGUAGAGAUGCUUCAAUUCCGAACACAAAAGGAGGUGAUCCAACUACCAAAGUGCCAUCGCCAAGAGCUAGCACACAGCAGCCAAGCAAGCCUGCAUCACCAAGAGCUGACUUUCAGCAACCAUUAACACAAGAGGAGGUGUUCAACAUUAUAAGUAGGUGCAAGCCUCCAAGGCCGCCAACUACAACACUUUUGUGA
This 663-nucleotide ribosomal RNA is filed under the name Triticum aestivum (bread wheat). RNAcentral's name for it is "partial small subunit ribosomal RNA". The record is from RNAcentral. Lineage: Eukaryota; Viridiplantae; Streptophyta; Magnoliopsida; Poales; Poaceae.